UGGGAACCUUCCCUAUGGUUCGGAAUAGCCCAGGGAAACUUGAGGUAAUACCGGAUAAGCCCUUCGGGGAAAGAUUUAUCGCCAUUGGAUGGGCCCGCGUCGGAUUAGCUAGUUGGUGAGGUAACGGCUCACCAAGGCAACGAUCCGUAGCUGGUCUGAGAGGAUGAUCAGCCACACUGGAACUGAGACACGGUCCAGACUCCUACGGGAGGCAG
This 215-nucleotide ribosomal RNA is filed under the name uncultured bacterium. Its description in RNAcentral is "partial 16S ribosomal RNA". It matches the Rfam family "Bacterial small subunit ribosomal RNA", at positions 118 to 351 of the family's 1533-position model. The record is from RNAcentral.